This 431-nucleotide ribosomal RNA is filed under the name uncultured bacterium. RNAcentral's name for it is "bacterial SSU rRNA". It matches the Rfam family "Bacterial small subunit ribosomal RNA", at positions 354 to 777 of the family's 1533-position model. The record is from RNAcentral.
GUAGGGAAUCUUCCGCAAUGGGCGAAAGCCUGACGGAGCAACGCCGCGUGAGUGAAGAAGGAUUUCGGUUCGUAAAGCUCUGUUGUUAGGGAAGAAUAAUUGUGUAGUAACUAUACACAGUAGAGACGGUACCUAACCAGAAAGCCACGGCUAACUACGUGCCAGCAGCCGCGGUAAUACGUAGGUGGCAAGCGUUGUCCGGAAUUAUUGGGCGUAAAGCGCGCGCAGGUGGUUUAAUAAGUCUGAUGUGAAAGCCCACGGCUCAACCGUGGAGGGUCAUUGGAAACUGUUAAACUUGAGUGCAGGAGAGAAAAGUGGAAUUCCUAGUGUAGCGGUGAAAUGCGUAGAGAUUAGGAGGAACACCAGUGGCGAAGGCGGCUUUUUGGCCUGUAACUGACACUGAGGCGCGAAAGCGUGGGGAGCAAACAGGA